This 402-nucleotide ribosomal RNA is filed under the name uncultured bacterium. Its description in RNAcentral is "bacterial SSU rRNA". It matches the Rfam family "Bacterial small subunit ribosomal RNA", at positions 11 to 429 of the family's 1533-position model. The record is from RNAcentral.
GUUUGAUCCUGGCUCAGAAUCAACGCUGGCGGCGCGCUUAACACAUGCAAGUCGAACGAGAAAGUCCGCAAGGAUGAGUACAGUGGCGUACGGGUGAGUAACACGUGGAUCAUCUACCUCUUAGUGAGGAAUAACCCUGGGAAACCGGGGCUAAUACCGCAUAAGCCUGGAAAGGGAAAGUCGAAAGACGCUGAGAGAGGAGUCCGCGGCCGAUUAGCUAGUUGGCAGGGUAACAGCCUACCAAGGCUUUGAUCGGUAGCCGGCCUGAGAGGGCACACGGCCACACUGGCACUGAAACACGGGCCAGACUCCUACGGGAGGCAGCAGUGGGGAAUCUUGCACAAUGGGGGCAACCCUGAUGCAGCGACGCCGCGUGAGCGAUGAAGCCCUUCGGGGUGUAAA